AUACGUGCCUGACAGGGGAGAUACCAUAAUCACGAAGGUAGUUUUCCCAGGGUGAGGCUUCUCCAUUUCACUCCUGAUACACUAACUGACCCUUGCCAUUUCCCCAAAUGUGGGACUCUUGACUACAUAAUUUGUGGUGGUGGGGACUGCGUUUGUGCUCUCUCCUU
Small nuclear RNA from Nannospalax galili (Upper Galilee mountains blind mole rat), 167 nucleotides. Its record names the gene U1. It matches the Rfam family "U1 spliceosomal RNA". Rfam says of the family: U1 is a small nuclear RNA (snRNA) component of the spliceosome (involved in pre-mRNA splicing). NCBI's taxonomy places the organism in Eukaryota, Metazoa, Chordata, Mammalia, Rodentia, Spalacidae. The record is from Ensembl.